UCUUUGUUCCUGAGCAUGGCACUAUGUUUACUCUUGCGCUUGUUCGUUUUCCGCCUACUGCGACUAAAGAGAUUCAGUACCUUAACGCUAAAGGUGCUUUGACUUAUACCGAUAUUGCUGGCGACCCUGUUUUGUAUGGCAACUUGCCGCCGCGUGAAAUUUCUAUGAAGGAUGUUUUCCGUUCUGGUGAUU
Molecule: ribosomal RNA, 192 nt
Filed under: uncultured prokaryote
Description: partial 16S ribosomal RNA
Source: RNAcentral